GCUGUGAAAUCUGGACUGACGUCGAUGGCGUGUAUACCUGUGACCCGCGCCAGGUGCCGGACGCCAGGCUGCUGAAAUCGAUGUCCUACCAGGAAGCGAUGGAACUCUCUUACUUCGGCGCCAAAGUUAAUUAGCGGAUGACCUGUGGCUGGGGGUGAAAGGCCAAUCAAACCGGGAGAUAGCUGGUUCUCCCCGAAAGCUAUUUAGGUAGCGCCUCGUGAAUUCAUCUCCGGGGGUAGAGCACUGUUUCGGCUA
Molecule: ribosomal RNA, 255 nt
Filed under: Salmonella enterica subsp. enterica serovar Anatum
Lineage: Bacteria; Pseudomonadati; Pseudomonadota; Gammaproteobacteria; Enterobacterales; Enterobacteriaceae
Description: partial 23S ribosomal RNA
Rfam family: Bacterial large subunit ribosomal RNA
Source: RNAcentral